CUUGCCUGCGCGUCCCUUCGUCUCCUAACUUCCCACUGAGAAGCACAGGCUGCUCCCUGGAAACCGGUUAUGAUCUCAAAUUGGUGAUCACUGAGGACUAAGACAUCAUGAAGUUCCAAGACAAGAAGCUUUGCAAUAACAAAUGAAGCUUUAGGCUCCAUCUGGCCAGACCCUUCUUUCUGACACAUUUUGCUCCUCUUCUCAAUGAUAAGCAGCAAGGUGAUCAAAGCAAGUUUAAAAGCUUAAAUGCCUCAG
Molecule: long non-coding RNA, 255 nt
Organism: Prionailurus viverrinus (fishing cat)
Lineage: Eukaryota; Metazoa; Chordata; Mammalia; Carnivora; Felidae
Exons: 3
Source: RefSeq, a predicted model, not a curated record